AGAUGUUAAAAAAAAAUCUGUUUUCUCUAGUUCAGAUAGAAUUGUACUAAGUGAGAUAAAUAUAUGCAUACAAAGCCACCUGAUAAACUGUAAGCCAUUUUGUCAUUAUCAUCAUUUAUAAUAAUGAUCAUAAUAAAAUUCUUCCAUAAGCGAUCAAGAAAACUUUUGAGAUGUAGAAGAUUAAAAUACCCUAAUUCUGGGGAUAUUCCAAAACCAGAAAAAACUCAAAUAGAAAUAUUAAAACACAAAUGUUUAAAUAGUAAAAUUGGCAAAGGAAGAUGUGAGUUACAGGAGUAGGGACUCCUAGAGGAGGCACGUAUUAUAGAAGGGUAGGGGCAAUUUGGUUUUGGAGCUCACAUCUCCAUUGCCUGAUGCCAAGAGAUCACUUUGAUAUUACUUGUUUUUCCCAUGAACAUUUUCUUAUACAUGCUACUGAUUCAAAACAGCAACAGCAAACUCACCCUCUGUAUACCGUAGCCAAUCAUUUGAGUAUUUCUGCAGUAGCAAAAGGUGGGCGGUAGGUUUCUGAUUUCACACGCCUAAGUUGAAGCUUGUUGAAACAGAGGGCACUUUGUACAACUUCUGGCUUAGCAACACCAGGCACCACACCACUUAGCCCAUAAUUGCACACCAGUGAGACACAGAGACACGAUUAUUUCUCUAGGUAUGUGAGCUGGUCCCAACAUUCCUGGUCUCCAUCAGACCCUGAAAAUCAAGGCAGAUCCGAUGGUCUCAGAAGUCCUAGUUCGGUUGUGCUUGCUGUAGUCUGGGAAGCUUGUCACCGUGUGGAUGUGGAGCUGUUUCAUGCUUACUUGACUGCACAAACAAUUCAAAAAGCAUCCCAAGUCAGAGCGAAUUUUAACCAGUAAAUGCAUCUUCCAGUGCGCAUGACAAAGAGGCUGACAUCAUGGGGAAAUUUAGAGAACUGAAGAAAAUGAACUUUGCCCAGAGAAGCUUCCUUAAGACAGGGCUAGAUAAUAGUGUCGAAUAAUAUUUUUUUUAAUAAGGCAUUGUGGUAAAAUAAUACAUGAUCUUUUUUUCCCAAAGAACCUGUACCACCACUUUCCUCUAGAGCAGCUAGUCAGGUGAGCAUGGUUAAGUUUGGCUUAAGUUUGACUUUGUGGUAUGAAGGGGUGUGGGACUUCACCCACAUGGAGGUGGAAAAGCCACAGAGGAUGUUUAAGAUACAGUGAGUAAACCCGUCUGAAUGGAAUGGAAGUUUCAUGUAGUGGCACAGAGAGGGGCCUCACAGAAAGCAGAUGGGACACUCACCGUGCAUUCACUGAGGAGAGUGUAACGACUGCGUUAUUUACAAUGAUGCGAGAGGAGUUAAGUGAAACCAAGGGGAGGUGUUGAAACCUCCUGAGGUGAGCAACAAGAAGGUGCCACCCCCUUUCCAUCUGAGGUGGGAAGUGGAAGGAAUCAUUGUCAGGACCUCAAGAAAGCUCAAACUGUAGGAGACCACAGCCAAAGAGGACCAACCUCUGCAAACUCAGGAAACAGCCGAGACCCCUUUUUUCCUCCUCCCUGAUCUCCUGACUGUGCCUGCAGUGAGCAAAGCCAACCAAAAGCCAGACGGCAACGGAAUCUGCUCGUGUUUCCUAGAAAGUUCAGCCUGCUGGUAUUUGGAGCAGAACAGAAAGUACUGGAGAGGGGAACUGAAGGGACGAAUAGAACGUAUCCCAAAGAGCUGAUAAGUUAGAUCAAAAGGAUACUGGGUGACUAGAAGCUUUCCUAUAGUGGGCUGGGAUGGGGAGGUGUCUGUGUUUCCUCUCCGUCCCGCUUAUCCUGUCACAAGUUUGCUCUGAAUCUAUUUCCCAUUGUCCACACGACAGGUAGCUUACACUGCAGGCCGCAAAGAACUGUUACAAGCAGCUAUUCUACAGACGUUCAACAUAAGAUUCCUAAAUCAAGGAUUAAGGAGCAAGAAUGAACAAGAAAUAGGCCCAUGGGCAACGUGAAAGCAUUUUGUAGGUAUUGGCUAUGGUGCUAGAGAACAGAGACUGAGAGCAAAACACAGCACGGUACCUGCCCUCAAGGAGACCACAACCUGAUAGAAGAAACUGACAAAUAAGCCAGCAAUGAUAGAAUAUCAGAGCAUUAUGGAAACAGACAAGCAAGGAUCUCACUCUUCUUGGGAGCUGGGGCUCAAGUGGAAACUGUUACCUCUAAACCUGAGAGGAUGACUUUUUCUGUUAAUUCAAAUGGCCCAAUGAAGCUGGGACUGAAAGAUAAAGAGGAUGGGAUCUAAAACAGACAUUGAAAUGGAUCUGAAAGCAAAGAGGGGCAUAUAGCAGAGAUGAGAGUCACCACUGAGGAAUCUACUGUGAACAGAAGACACACAUGUAUAGAGAUAUUAGUGGCACAAUGCAAAGGUGGCAUUGUAGUAAAAAAAGACACAUCAACACACACUGAGUGGCAUAGGACCUGCGAAUAAGGGCUGACGUGAAUAAGUACCCUAGAAGCUCAAGGAGUGGAUGUUGAGCUUGGCCAGAAGGUUUAAAGAAGAUUUCCUGGAUAAAAUGGACCUGAGCCUUUCUUCACAAGAAGCAGUCUAGUGCAGAGAGCCCACUGGAGAUGAAGGUUUGAAAUGGACCAAGAAUUUCAGCACCUCACAUUUCCCAUGCUGGCCCUGCUAGUAAUUCCAGCAAUUCCAGAGGCUUUAAAGCAUAGAAAUGAGUUCUUUUUUUUUUUUUUAACAACUUUAU
Long non-coding RNA from Aethalodelphis obliquidens (Pacific white-sided dolphin), 2708 nucleotides. RefSeq lists it as uncharacterized. The transcript has 5 exons. The record is from RefSeq and is a predicted model, not a curated record. Lineage: Eukaryota; Metazoa; Chordata; Mammalia; Artiodactyla; Delphinidae.